This is a small nuclear RNA of Antechinus flavipes (yellow-footed antechinus), 102 nucleotides long. The record is from RefSeq and is a predicted model, not a curated record. Lineage: Eukaryota; Metazoa; Chordata; Mammalia; Dasyuromorphia; Dasyuridae.
GUUUGCUUCGGCAGCAGAUAUACUAAAAAGUUGGAAUGAUACAGAAGAUGAGCAUGACCUCUGUGGGAUGAUGUGUAAAUUUGUGAAGAAAGCUAGAUAAAU